UACAGAGGUCGCAAGCGUUGUUCGGAAUUACUGGGCGUAAAGCGCGCGUAGGCGGCUCUGCAAGUCGGGUGUGAAAUCCCCAGGCUUAACCUGGGAACUGCAUUCGAGACUGCAUUGCUAGAGUAUGGGAGAGGGAAGUGGAAUUUCCGGUGUAGCGGUGAAAUGCGUAGAUAUCGGAAGGAACAUCAGUGGCGAAAGCGACUUCCUGGACCAAUACUGACGCUCAUGUGCGAAAGCGUGGGGAGCAAACAGG
Molecule: ribosomal RNA, 253 nt
Filed under: uncultured bacterium
Lineage: Bacteria
Description: partial 16S ribosomal RNA
Rfam family: Bacterial small subunit ribosomal RNA
Source: RNAcentral